UACAGAGGUCUCAAGCGUUAGGCGGAAUCACUGGGCUUAAGGCGUGUGUAGGUGGGUUUGUAAGUACCUUGUGAAAUCCCACGGCUCAACCGUGGAACUGCCGGGCAUACUGGCGAUCUUGAGGCAUUCAGGGGCGAGCGGAACAAGUGGUGGAGCGGUGAAAUGCGUAGAUAUCACUUGGAACGCCAAUGGUGAAAACAGCUCGCUGGGAAUGAUCUGACACUGAGACGCGAAAGCCAGGGGAGCGAACGGG
RNAcentral lists this ribosomal RNA (253 nucleotides) under uncultured bacterium. RNAcentral describes it as "partial 16S ribosomal RNA". It matches the Rfam family "Bacterial small subunit ribosomal RNA", at positions 524 to 776 of the family's 1533-position model. The record is from RNAcentral.